RNAcentral lists this ribosomal RNA (519 nucleotides) under Rothia terrae. Its description in RNAcentral is "bacterial SSU rRNA". It matches the Rfam family "Bacterial small subunit ribosomal RNA", at positions 908 to 1426 of the family's 1533-position model. Lineage: Bacteria; Bacillati; Actinomycetota; Actinomycetes; Micrococcales; Micrococcaceae. The record is from RNAcentral.
AAUUGACGGGGGCCCGCACAAGCGGCGGAGCAUGCGGAUUAAUUUGAUGCAACGCGAAGAACCUUACCAAGGCUUGACAUAUACUGGACUCCCCUAGAGAUAGGGUUUCCCCUCGGGGCUGGUAUACAGGUGGUGCAUGGUUGUCGUCAGCUCGUGUCGUGAGAUGUUGGGUUAAGUCCCGCAACGAGCGCAACCCUCGUUCUAUGUUGCCAGCACGUGAUGGUGGGGACUCAUAGGAGACUGCCGGGGUCAACUCGGAGGAAGGUGGGGAUGACGUCAAAUCAUCAUGCCCCCUAUGUGUUGGGCUUCACGCAUGCUACAAUGGCCGGUACAAAGGGUUGCGAUACUGUGAGGUUGAGCUAAUCCCAAAAAGCCGGUCUCAGUUUGGAUUGGGGUCUGCAACUCGACCCCAUGAAGUCGGAGUCGCUAGUAAUCGCAGAUCAGCAACGGUGCGGUGAAUACGUUCCCGGGCCUUGUACACACCGCCCGUCAAGUCACGAAAGUUGGUAACACCCGAAG